UGAUCUUGUACAAAGUGUUUC
Molecule: non-coding RNA, 21 nt
Filed under: Caenorhabditis elegans
Lineage: Eukaryota; Metazoa; Nematoda; Chromadorea; Rhabditida; Rhabditidae
Source: RNAcentral